Molecule: long non-coding RNA, 1127 nt
Organism: Uranotaenia lowii
Lineage: Eukaryota; Metazoa; Arthropoda; Insecta; Diptera; Culicidae
Exons: 3
Source: RefSeq, a predicted model, not a curated record
UCGUCAUCGUCAUUGAAGACAAACAUAAACAAAAUUAGUGUGAAGCAAACGUGAAAAGAGCAAGCUAACCGAAAUCGAAAAGUCGCCAUUGCGUUCGGCUUAAUUACCGCGAGUUUGCUGCUGAUUCCACCAUCUCGUUGGAGGUACACCCGCGAGGUGCCCUGGAGAACGAGACGCUGCUGAUUCCAAGACCGUUACGGGAGGAACGAAAAAGAAGUCGAUUAACCAGGUCAGUAAAUUCCUACACAACAUCCUCGAGCGGGCAAAUCAAGACAAAAUGCUCUCCAUAAACAGUUCCGUAUGAGGCUUCGUGCAGAAUUCCGGGAAGGCUAGGGAGCGGAAGGAUCCGAGAUCGGCAACUAAACGGAACAAGGCAAGAAAGUUCCGUUUCCACGGAGAGCGGACAUCGGAAGAAAUAACUUCCGAUCACUAUUGGCUGCAAGGAACAUUUCCCAGAUCCCCAAAUUGGGGCUUUUAUUGGGAGCUGAAAACCGACGCUGCCUGGAGUCUGUCUUUUCCGGAGCCGAAAGUUGUUUCGUCCGGGAGCCGGAGUCGUGUUUCUUCUGGAAGUUGGUCGAUCAGCUGCUGUCAGUGGUGCCCAAGUCUGCUUCGGUCAUCGGAUGACAUUGAGGUUGCUGUAAAGGAAAAGUAAAUAAGAAAAGAAACAUGUAAGUACUAGCGCUAGUCAGAAGAAAGAAGAAGCUGCAGCGAAGUAAGAAGAAGAAAUAAGAAGCAGGUAAGCAAGAAGAAGAAGCAGCAGUAAAGGAAAAAGAAGAGCAAGAGCGAAAUAGAAGAAGAAGAAGCAGAGUAGAAGCAGAAUGGAAGAAGAAGAGUAGAAGCAGAAUGGAAGAAGAACGGUAGAAGCAGAAUGGAAGAAGAAGAAGGAGAGGAUGAUGAUGAGCGGGAGAAGAAGAAGUAGAUCGAAAGAAAGUAUGCGGUCUGAAAAUUAAGAAAACAAUGAUUGGAAAUAGAAAUAAGCAACAAAUUUGUUUUGGUUUUGUUUUGUGGCGUAGUUUUAUGUAUGUUUUGGUGAUUUGUGUUUCCUCCCCCAUUGCUAGCCGGGAGAGAAGCAAAAGAACUUCAACAUUGGCGCCCAACUAAAAAACCCAUGAUAUUAUGCUACCGCA